Long non-coding RNA from Chroicocephalus ridibundus (black-headed gull), 7368 nucleotides. RefSeq lists it as uncharacterized. The record is from RefSeq and is a predicted model, not a curated record. NCBI's taxonomy places the organism in Eukaryota, Metazoa, Chordata, Aves, Charadriiformes, Laridae. The transcript has 4 exons.
CCUGAAGUAGCUGGUUAAAAAAGAAGAAAUUUAGUUAUCUUGUGAACCUCUCAUUAACCACUAAUAAAGUAUUUACCUGCUUUUUUGCCUUUAUAAAUUACAGUUCUGGACCCAUCGUGAUCGUUUGUUCAUAAAAUGCCUCCCGUAACAGCAUGGUCAAUCAAUUCUUUUAAUGGAUGUUCCUGAUGUACAGCCAGCUUCAGUAAUUACAUUUAAAGUGGCUUAAUUCAGAGCUGUGGCAAGACCCAGUGAAGAAUCCUGAUUUUAUCAGAAUUUAAAAGCCUGAAGACCUGUAAAGAACGGUGUCUCCAUUAUCUGUCCUCAUUUGAGAAAAGCAGAUUGCAGGAUUAACUGAACUGCUGCAUAAACAAAUUAAAUUUGUGUAGACAAUGACACAAAUGUUGUUCAUCAUUAAGGUUUCUGGAUUAAUAAAGGCCAGAAAAACAGGCCACCACAGUGUUGCAAUAUGUUCUUUGCACCAGUACGCUGAAGCUAAAUUGAACCUAUUCUAGGAGGAAGCUCUUGUAACUUUUUUCUUUCAGUGGCAGCAUUCAUGACAGCAUUCUUCUGUGAAAAAGGAGUAAAAGGAUGGAGAGCACAUGACUCGAUGCAGAACCUCAAGGCUGUAAAUAUAACUGGGGGCAGCUAGAUUACAGAGCUGUGAUUUAUUUCUCUUUCCUCUAUAACGAAAAAUAAUUUUUACAGCUUCAGUUGAGAUGCUCUGUGUGUAAUUCUUGUUAAUGCUAACUGGAGUCAGGAGGUGCACCGCGUUCAUCCCAGUAAUGACUGAACAGAUGUCGGCAGGGUCACCCAGGAAGUUUUAAGCAUUUGUGUGGCUGCGACCAACGUUCUUGUCUUUGGAAUGGCAGCAGCCUGCUUGCCACUGCUGUCACGAGUACGCAUGAGCUAUCGCUUGAUUCAGUUGCAUAGUCUUUAAACGAACAUCCGGAUAAAGCAACUUAAAAGGCGCUACACAAGUUUAAUAAUUCUGACGUAUCUGCCUACAGAAAACUAACGUACAGUUUCCUUUUGGCAGAUUUUUUCUUUCAUUAAUCUCAAAUGGCAGGCUUUCCCCUCUCACACGCUUUGAGUGAAACUCCAGCUCUCACUAAUGCCCUGCACAAUUAAUAACAAUUUGUGCACCUGCCGGAACUUCACUGUUUGUUUGUUGGUUUUUUCUUUUUUCCAUACUCAUCCCCGUCAUAAGCUCUCUUCCCCCCGCCCACUGUGCCCCUUCCUCUGCGUUUCUCUUUGUAUCGCGGGCCGGCGGGGACUGCCCUCUCCUCGACUUGCACAGCGUCCGGCACAGUGGGGCUCUCUCCAAUAGACGUUUUCAUAGCAUAAAUAUUUAUUGACGCUAUUACAAACACUGUGUUCUUGCUAUGGUAAGUACUGCCCAGCCUAGGAGUCUCUGGUAGCACGUUACCACUGCUGACACUAUUUAUUCAUUUGGAUAUGAAAUGUUAGAAAAGAUGAGCUCAGCUUUUGGUAUCUUUUAUUUAAAUAAUUAAUAUACCUAUAAUGGGUGCAGAGAACUACAGAAGAACAGGAUAUUCCCCAAAUAUUUAAAAAAACCCUUCAACUUCAUAAGAAUAAACUCCACCCAACACAAACCUGUAACUCAAUGUUGAUAUUAGCAAAGCAGGGAAAAGGGGGAUGUUAUACAAGAAUACAUUAAGAUAAUUAAAGACUCUCUAUUUUUACUGAUAUGCCCUGCUAAAAGCCAUGUUCUACUGGCCAAACAUUUUGUUUUCAAGCUGGCAUCUUAAUUCUAACCCUGAUAAGGUGAUUUCAUCUCUUGACUGAGGCACAUCUUCUAACCCUGGUUAAGUUGUUCAGCUGCCUCACUGAGAUGUUGCAUUAAAUGAUGUUUAUAAAAUGUUUCAGGGAGGCUACACAUUACUGCUACUGUGACCAGCUCAGUCCCUCACUGCGCUUUUAACUGUUCCUGUCCAUAUUCACGGAUUUGGAGCUCAAAACCUGAAACGUGUCACCCAGUUUGCAGUAUUUAAUACAAAUAAAAUGCUCUCUUUUUUGGGGGAGUGGAGAAUGUCUUGUCUGUAUUUUCUAGAUAGAUUUUCUCAAGAGGAGCUACCAGUAAACCACAUUUACUCCCAGAUUCCCUUUACUUCCCUUCACCUGAAGAAAUGUAACGACUGAAGGCAAUUUAAAGAUAGGCUUCACAGAAACAAUUCGCUUUCUUUGCCAGAUCUUUGUUUUUAUCUAUUUAUCUUUCCAGUUAGGAUCACCUUUCUAAAGGGGCACGAGGUGUUUUUGAGAAAGCAGAUCUACAUAUGGCUGCUAAAGGGAAGUUUUUUAAUAAUGAAAAACCCCAUUUGACGAAGCCAAACCAACAAGUUGACUUUCUGCGGCUCAUUCUGAAUUUUAUUACCACUUCAGCAGCAGUCCCCCGGGGCAAGCUGUAGAAGGCUGGGAAGUAUAAUGCUCUUCAGUAUACAAGAUGAAGCUGGCAUGCUACCAACAGAGGCUCAAAGGCUCCUCAACUAUCAUGAGAACGGCAUCUGCCACAUGUGUUUGCACCAUUUAGUCUUUCAUAACCUGCCAGAGCGAUCAGGCUAAAUAUGUACAAGAUGACAAUGUUUGCCAGGAGCAUAACGGGUUUUCAAACUUGGUCACUUCCUAACGGGGAUCCCCUGCUGGCAGACUUUUAUAUCGACAGAAGCUAUCAUGGGAAGGCAUUUGUAACGAGAUGGGAUGAAAUGGUCUCCUUUUGAAGACAAUAAGCGACAUCCUUUUUGUUGCUAGGAAGCUGGUCUCGCCUUUCUUUGACAAACAAUAUUUAAAGUCUGUUCUGCCUCAUUUGUGAUGUGUAGCCUACAUUAGAUGAAAGGGAAGAAGGAGGAAAAUAUUUAGUGGCGUCCUGUACAAAAGACAUGGAAUCUUUCCCUUUUCAAGAGAUGCAGCAUUAAAUAAAAUGGGCAAAGUUGGCGAAUGCUAGCAAGCAAAAAUGGAGGAUGCACGCACGUGGCUUUCUGUCCGAGACCGAUCUGUAUUUCCUCUCCAUUUCAUCUGCACUACGCACCACUUUCAGAGAACAAGGCUUCUGCCUCUGUGAAAGCGAAGUCUGAAGCUGCCGUAGGUCUGCAGUGUGUCCUGGCGCUCUGAAGCAGGGGCAGCGAGGACCUGACACUGACCUCUGGCAGCGUUUCUGCCAUCUAAGCCCAGUCUAACGGCACGAGAUGUAUCGCCGACAGCAAGAUGUUGAAGACAGAAAGUCUUAAAAACUGAAUGAAGAACCUUCAGAAUAACACCCUUGGUUCAUACAACAACAAAACAAAAAGCAAGAUAUAAAGUUAAAAAAAAAUAAAUCAGUAAUUGCAGUUUUCAUAAAUAAUUUUAAACCUCGUGACAAGAAGGUAAUGUCAGAAAGGAGACGACCAGCUCUGUAGAGUGAGCUUAUCUAUUCUGGUAGACCUAAUAUUUUAUCCUUCGCAAGCUUGACAUAACUGUGAUACUCAUACAGAUCACUUCUAUCACACCACUGCAAUGUUUUCCAAACUUGUGCAAGUUGGGCUUCCCUUCAUGAAAACGAAGCAAAGCAAGGCCUGAAUAAUUUCCACUUAUAUUAUUAAAGACGGGCUUCUGAGCACCAUUGUUGAUUUCGACUUUGUGCAUUUCAUAUCAGGUGCUUUUCUUGGAAAAUCUCAGCUGAAAUCAUCUCUGCAAAAAAGAAAAACACUGGUGGAAAGAGAAACUGAAAGCAGUGAUAUGAAUGUGUCCAACAUGGCAAACAAAACAGAAACCAAUUUUUAAAAAAGGUUUGAUUUUCUCAUUCCUCUUAAUGCGAAAGUAAAUCUCAUUAUUGCAGCCUGAGAAAUAGUGGUUUUCUUUUUAAUAUGAGGGUUGUAAUAUGUUUUUAAUUACUUCCAUUCCUUUUCUUGCUGCUUCCGUGAGCCCGAUGACAGCAGAGAUAACCGGUGCCACCGCGGACAGGCCUGUGGGCACACCUUACGCACUGGGAAUGCAGACCUGACGGCUCAUUAAACUACAUGGAAUAAUCCCUCCCUGCAGGAAAUUCUUUUAGGAUUUACAUGAAGUUUCUGGAGUGGCUUUAAAGAUGUUGCCUUUUCAGACAGCAGACCUUUCUGCUUCUCAGUACAUGCUGCUUUGGACAGCUCAUCCUGCAUCUGCAAAGCUGGAAAACAAGAAACUGGCCCUGAGGUGGGGAUUUAUCUUGGGACCAGCAUCUACUGAAGCCAUGAGCUCAUCUUCCCCACAGGAAGAUUUCAAGGGCAUUGAAAGAAAAUCACCCUAAAUCCUUAAAUUCCUCCUCUAAGUCUCAAAGAAAAAAGCUAGUGAUAAUUCCCUUCUUUUGUCUUCUUGUGGCACCUGCACAGUCCCUCUCCUGGGACAUGAGGAAGCAGAUCAGACUUCAUCUCCCCAAAAUAAGAGCUGAGGCAGCACCACGGCGACAAGCACUACAAAGCAGGCGGUGCUGGAAGUGGCCACUGAUUCGUCCUACGCGUUAGGCAUCGGUUUGGAACAGAUGUGCACACAGCACGUCAUGCAAAACGUGCUGGAUGCCUGAAGAGCCGCUUUGAAAUCCAGCGCAGCGCGAGAGCGAGGACUGCAGGGUCCCGCCACAGCCCUUGUCUUUUGUCUGCACGCUCCGCACAGACUCCGCGCAUUGAUUAGCAGAGAGGAGCUUUUGUAUCGAUUUAGAAUCGCGCACAUCUGACAUUUCACUUGAUAUGUGUGUUUCAUUUGGUUUUCUACGUUGCCUAAAAGUGACUUUAAAGAGGCAGAAGCCCAUCUGAAAUCUGGAACAUAAAAAUGUGCUCACCAAGGAAAGUGCCUAUUCAGAUGAAGCUAAGAGAGGCGCCGGGGAAGGCAAAACUCACAUCAACUGGAGGUGUCUCAGUUCUGAAAGAUGAGAAAUGAGGAGCAAGUAAGCGAGGCUGGGUCAGGAACUGGAGGGCACAGGCACAGAACGGUCCCUGCCCCAGUCCCUCACCUCUGUCAGAGCGCCGCAGGCAGCAGAAGCCGGGGAAGCUACAACUACGAGCAGCGGCUUUGGAGCUGCCUCUUACAGGGGAUAAACUGAAAGCUGGCAGAACAAAGGUCCCAAAAAUAAAGUAAAACAAGAGCGCACACUGGACGUUGAGGGUUAAAAGUAAUAAGAAUGACAAGGUUGAGAGGUGUUUUAAACAAGAUCAUUGUCUGCAAAGGGUACAGAUGAAGACUGACCGUCUCAUUGUUACAAUAUAGUUUGUGAAGCUCCAGAGCCUUUAUAAAGAGCUUUCUCCUUCAUCAGUGCCCUCAGCUUUUAAAAUGAUUAGACGACAAGCUGAAUGUUGCUGCCCAUCAUCAAGAAAUAUUACUGUACAGGCUGAGGAAAGGGUGAAAAGUUAUCAGACAAGUAUGCAUUAUCUUGCUGCCUUCAUCUUGAACAGACCGAGACAUAACUGUAUCAGGGCAAACUAACAUCAGUAAUACGUCCUUCCCUUAGUGUCAGCCUCAGGGAGGACACGGUUGUGACCCGAGUAAAGUAUUACCCAAUUACACCACCAAAGAGCUUUCCUGUGGAUGAAGAGCAAGCGUCAGAUGCUCACGACCAGCUGGAUGAGCCAGAAGGAAGAAAAGGCAUGGGAAGCAAAGGGAGCUGGAAAUUUAAGCCACACUGGUAUGGCAGAGAUGUGACAGCAGAGUCAGAGCCUCUGGGGUUGUUCGUAUAUAAAACAAGUAAUGAAAUAUCUGCAGUUAAGGGAAUUCUAACCACCUAGUACAUCCAAAAUCAGGGAAGCUCUGCCCGGGAAGGCAAGGGGACCACACAGCCCCACGUCCUGCCGGCUGACAGGCAGGACGGUGUCACCAGAGGGGAGGGGAGGGGACGGCUGCAACCUCCAGGCUGGGAGCCAUCUGUCAGCCCGGGAGGGGAGGGAGGGAGGGAGGCUGCCGCUUUAGGAAAAGAGGAGAUUUUCUCCCGUUGUUUUCAUCCUGCAGGACUCAACAAAUUAAGCCCCUAAGAACUGCCAAUCAACAGUUGAUAUUGGCUCAAAUCCCAAAAGGCCCAGAGCUGCUGCAGUGCUGAUUCCUGCACAGCCUGCUCCCUUGCAAACCCAGCUGCCUUCCUGGCGAAGGCUGCUCUCCAGAGCCCUGUCCUCCUCCGAGCCUGUCCUCCCAGGUGGCUAAAAGCAGAUACAGGAGCCACGCAAGACAGCUGAACUGGUUUUGGAGAACAUAAAGCCCCUGACAUCACAAAUAAUUGACGUCUCUCAUCUUAGAGGCUGGGUAAGAGAGACCUCAAGAGGGAAGAACCAUGGCUGGAGGAAGGAUGGUAAGGGGGGCACAAAAGGGCAAGAGAAACAAACCAUGAGGAAAUGGGGGUCGCGAAGGAAUGGCACAGGCCACACAGGCGAGGUGGUGGGGAAAAGGUGGCGGGGGGCGCCAUGGGGAGGUGGUGAAUAGAUAUGAAGUUGCAAGAACAAGAACCACUUCCACCCUGUGGAAGAAGGAUAAAAAUAGAAGGAUUUCAGGCAAAGAGGAGAGAAACUGCAGAGCUGCAUAUGAGGAGAGAGUGGAAGGAACAUCACAACGGAUAUGGGGACCAAAGUCAGGACACUGCUAGUAGACAGAAGUGUUAUGCAAGGUCUUCACCUCCAUAAGGAAGGGCUUAACUAUCCAUACAUUAAACAGAAAAGGGUCAGGAAAACCAAUGACUUAGAGCUUUCCAGCGCAGGGGAGGUGGCAGGGACCACGGACUCCUGGGGAGCUCUCCGAGGGAGGCACGUGGCUCUUCCUUUCCAGAAUUACACCAGACUUGCUGGAAAAAGAAGCAUGCCUGCAGCGGGAUGUGUUGAGGGGGCCAUACAGCUUGCUACAGAUGCACGUGUUGAAGUGACUCUACUAGAAGUGCUCACUCACGUGGAUUAGCCCAAUAAAGAAAAACAGAACUAUUCCGCCCAUUGGGAAAGGCUAAAACCUGUCCCACAUCUCAGCGGGGCCACACCUGUGAAUGUGCAUAUAAAAUUACUUAGAUAUUGAUACUACACAUAAACAAGAAUGCAGUCAUUAAUGUAGAAGGAGAAAAAUCUAUUUAAAAAUAUAUUUUCAUUAAGUUAUGUAGUAGGCCUCUCUAUCCUGACAUUAUUGGCUUCUCCUAUGACUUAAUCAAAUCUUAAUCAAAUGCACAUAACUAUAGACAGGAGUUAAUGUCUGCAUUUAAAUAAUAAAAGGAAUUCUGGAAUUAUUUAGAAAAUGAAUUAAGAGUAUUUGUCACUCAGCAGUGAACAACUAUUUGUGAGUCAGGUGACUAAAACACAUUUUAAUCCAAAUCACUCAGGGCAUUAACAAUGGUUUUAUUGGGAUUUUUAAAAAACAAUUCUUUAGACUAACAAGCGAAUGUUC